Molecule: unclassified non-coding RNA, 245 nt
Filed under: plant metagenome
Description: partial contains small subunit ribosomal RNA and internal transcribed spacer 1
Rfam family: Eukaryotic small subunit ribosomal RNA (bases 1-46)
Source: RNAcentral
AAGUCGUAACAAGGUUUCCGUAGGUGAACCUGCGGAAGGAUCAUUAUCGAGUUAGGGGUCUUCAUGGCCCUGACCUCCAACCCCUGUGUUUAUUAUACCACGUUGCUUCGGCGGGGUCCGUCUUUUUAUCGGGACCCGCCGGGGGGGUCGCGAGACUUCCUGGGCCCCGCGCCCCGCCGAUGGCCCCCCAAUAAAACUCUGUAUAACCAUGUUUGUCUGAGUUCUUAAAUUAAAUUAAAACAAAA